RNAcentral lists this ribosomal RNA (301 nucleotides) under uncultured bacterium. Its description in RNAcentral is "partial 16S ribosomal RNA". It matches the Rfam family "Bacterial small subunit ribosomal RNA", at positions 509 to 809 of the family's 1533-position model. The record is from RNAcentral.
CAGCCGCCGCGGUAAUACGUAGGGUGCAAGCGUUGUCCGGAAUUAUUGGGCGUAAAGAGCUCGUAGGCGGUUUGUCGCGUCUGCUGUGAAAUCCCGAGGCUCAACCUCGGGCUUGCAGUGGGUACGGGCAGACUAGAGUGCGGUAGGGGAGAUUGGAAUUCCUGGUGUAGCGGUGGAAUGCGCAGAUAUCAGGAGGAACACCGAUGGCGAAGGCAGAUCUCUGGGCCGUAACUGACGCUGAGGAGCGAAAGCGUGGGGAGCGAACAGGAUUAGAUACCCCAGUAGUCCCUGUCUCUUAUAA